Molecule: ribosomal RNA, 430 nt
Filed under: uncultured bacterium
Lineage: Bacteria
Description: bacterial SSU rRNA
Rfam family: Bacterial small subunit ribosomal RNA
Source: RNAcentral
CGCGAAGAACCUUACUAGGUCUUGACAUCCUUUGACCACUCUAGAGAUAGAGCUUCCCCUUCGGGGGCAAAGUGACAGGUGGUGCAUGGUUGUCGUCAGCUCGUGUCGUGAGAUGUUGGGUUAAGUCCCGCAACGAGCGCAACCCUUAUUGUUAGUUACCAUCAUUCAGUUGGGCACUCUAGCAAGACUGCCGGUGACAAACCGGAGGAAGGUGGGGAUGACGUCAAAUCAUCAUGCCCCUUAUGACCUGGGCUACACACGUGCUACAAUGGGAAGUACAACGAGUUGCGAAGUCGCGAGGCUAAGCUAAUCUCUUAAAGCUUCUCUCAGUUCGGAUUGCAGGCUGCAACUCGCCUGCAUGAAGCCGGAAUCGCUAGUAAUCGCGGAUCAGCACGCCGCGGUGAAUACGUUCCCGGGUCUUGUACACACC